Molecule: unclassified non-coding RNA, 335 nt
Filed under: soil metagenome
Description: partial contains 5.8S ribosomal RNA, internal transcribed spacer 2, and large subunit ribosomal RNA
Rfam family: 5.8S ribosomal RNA (bases 1-120)
Source: RNAcentral
GAUGAAGAACGCAGUGAAAUGCGAUAAGUAAUGUGAAUUGCAGAAUUCAGUGAAUCAUCGAAUCUUUGAACGCACAUUGCGCCCGCCAGUAUUCUGGCGGGCAUGCCUGUUCGAGCGUCAUUUCAACCAUCAAGCCCCAGGCUUGUGUUGGGGACCUGCGGCUGCCGCAGGCCCUGAAAACCAGUGGCGGGCUCGCUGUCACACCGGGCGUAGUAGAUUUUAUCUCGCUCAGGGCGUGCUGCGGGUUCCGGCCGUUAAAAAGCCUUUUUUACCCAAGGUUGACCUCGGAUCAGGUAGGAAGACCCGCUGAACUUAAGCAUAUCAAUAGCGGAGGA